GACGAACGCUGGCGGCGUGCUUAACACAUGCAAGUCGAACGGAAAGGCCCUGCUUUUGUGGGGUGCUCGAGUGGCGAACGGGUGAGUAACACGUGAGUAACCUGCCCUUGACUUUGGGAUAACUUCAGGAAACUGGGGCUAAUACCGGAUAGGAGCUCCUGCUGCAUGGUGGGGGUUGGAAAGUUUCGGCGGUUGGGGAUGGACUCGCGGCUCAUCAGCUUGUUGGUGGGGUAGUGGCUUACCAAGGUUUUGACGGGUAGCCGGCCUGAGAGGGUGACCGGCCACAUUGGGACGGAGAUACGGCCCAGACUCCUACGGGAGGCAGCAGUGGGGAAUAUUGCACAAUGGGCGGAAGCCUGAUGCAGCAACGCCGCGUGCGGGAUGACGGCCUUCGGGUGGUAAACCGCUUUCGCCUGUGACGAAGCGUGAGUGACGGUAAUGGGGAAAGAAGCACCGGCUAACUACGU
This 467-nucleotide ribosomal RNA is filed under the name uncultured bacterium. RNAcentral's name for it is "partial 16S ribosomal RNA". It matches the Rfam family "Bacterial small subunit ribosomal RNA", at positions 28 to 506 of the family's 1533-position model. The record is from RNAcentral.